This is a long non-coding RNA of Aquila chrysaetos chrysaetos, 1835 nucleotides long. RefSeq lists it as uncharacterized. NCBI's taxonomy places the organism in Eukaryota, Metazoa, Chordata, Aves, Accipitriformes, Accipitridae. The transcript is spliced from 3 exons. The record is from RefSeq and is a predicted model, not a curated record.
CGGUUUGAGGGGUGUUAGCGGCCGCGGGGGCUGUCCGGGCUGCGUGUGCGCGUCCCCGGUGCGGCGGCGGGGAGGGGGCUGUGCUGUGCCGUGUUCCCCCCCCCCCCCCUCUCCCCGCCCGUUCCCGGCCUGGGACUCUUUCUCUCCCGCUCCCCCCCCCCCCCCCCCCUCGCUCCUAAGCGGGAGUUUCCAGGAAGCGCUGAGAAGAGCCGCAGCACCGCGCAGCCUCUCGCACAGCGAGCUCCUUCCGCCGAGACCGUGGCAGGAACGCCAAGUAGUCCCAACCGCCUCUCCUCCUUCACCCGGAAAAAAGCUCCGUCCCGCUCUCCCGUAGCGGGAUACCGUUAGAGAAACGGGGAGAAAAGUCUUCCUCUCCCCCGCCCUCACCCCGCGGCCUUGGCCGGGAUAAGUCGGAAGGAAGCGGAGAGGGGGAGGGGAGGUGAAAAAGUGCCGGCGCCGGCGGAGGGGUCCGGAGUCGCGGAGGAGUGAGGAGGCACGGGGAGCUCUGCGCGAGGGAGGGGGGUGAGCGGGAAAACGCGGCGCGGAGCCGGGAACAGCGCCCCCUCCCCCUCCCGUGGCGGGGGGGGUGUCUCUGAGGGGGCGGCCGGCAGCCCGCCGCCUCACGGCUCCCCUCGCCGGGGCGAACGGCAAAGUUCCGGGAAACUUUCCCCGGGUUUAGGGUGAGGGUCUGGGGUCGUGCUUAAAUAUCCCACCACCCGCGACGCGGUGUCUUCCUGGCAGCAUUGGGCUGCCAUCUACAAAGUGCUGAUGAUCCCCCAUGAACUGCUGAGUCAUCAAAGAACAUGCGUCUUUCACAGGACCAGGCCCGCCUUUUAGAGGUCCCCGAUGGCGAGGCGAUUUUAUGAAAUACUCCAGAAGAAAGUCACGAAGGUGAAAUUGCGGCGACCCAGCCGUGACUGCGGAUGGUCCCCCCGUCCCCCCCCACCCAGGCCAUCCCGCCCCUGUUCCACGACCCCGGACCGAAGCCGCCGAUCAGGUCAGUGAAGCUCGGUGGCGGGGGGCUCGCACCCCGGGCCGGGCCGGCAGCCGUUCGUCGGGGGCUCCUCCGGUCAGCCCCCGCCGGUCCUGGGAUAUUUUCAGAGCUCAGCCUGUCGGGCAACCGGGCGCCUUUGAAAAUCUGGCGCUAGAUGUCUUCGGCACCUGGAGAUCGCGCACAUGACUCCGUAAUUGUGCACCCUGCGGAGUAGCAUUGUGUUUAGCCACACGUUAAAACAGCCGCUUCAGAGCGAGUUCCGAUGGCUGGGGUGUGACUCCUCAUUACAAAGCGCAGAAUAACGCUUUUCAGCCAAUUGCCCUUCCCUGGUGGGUGUCCCCCCCCUUCCAUUUUUGGUUGCUGUUUGAUUUCUCCCGACCCCGAAGCCGGCGGUUCCGUGCCGCAUCUGCCCUGCGCUCUCAGCUCAGGGCUGUUGAACUUCACUCCCCGAGCAGCCGCAGAGGUCGCUUCUGAGCAGCACGAAAAGGGUUGUGUUUUUUUUUUUUUUUUAAUCCCCCCCCCACAAGGCUCUCAGUCCCUCAUGGCCGGAGUGGAAAAGCACGUUUAAAUCCUGAACUCGGAUUUCCCACGUGGUGUCUGGUUGAGCUGCUGUCACAGCCACGCCGCGCACUCCCUUGCACAGGGCAAAGGCGCAUCUCUCCUGCCUCUGCUGAGAAUGCAGGUGGUGAUUAAUAUUUUUAAUGAAGCGGUAUUUUCAGGACACUGCACUGAAAACCAAACUUGUGCGAAAAGCUAGCACUCGUCAUCAGCAGGAUCCUGCUUUCUGAAUCCACCACCAAGUGUACAAAUAAUGAGGGGAUUAAAGUUCUACUCCACCUUC